RNAcentral lists this ribosomal RNA (499 nucleotides) under uncultured bacterium. Its description in RNAcentral is "partial 16S ribosomal RNA". It matches the Rfam family "Bacterial small subunit ribosomal RNA", at positions 28 to 507 of the family's 1533-position model. The record is from RNAcentral.
GAUGAACGCUGGCGGCGUGCCUAAUACAUGCAAGUCGAGCGAACAGACGAGAGUGCUUGCACUCUCUGACGUUAGCGGCGGACGGGUGAGUAACACGUGGGUAACCUACCUAUAAGACUGGGAUAACUUCGGGAAACCGGAGCUAAUACCGGAUAAUAUUUAGCUUCGCAUGAAGCAAUAGUGAAAGACGGUUCUGCUGUCACUUAUAGAUGGACCCGCGGUGUAUUAGCUAGUUGGUGAGGUAACGGCUCACCAAGGCAACGAUACAUAGCCGACCUGAGAGGGUGAUCGGCCACACUGGGACUGAGACACGGCCCAGACUCCUACGGGAGGCAGCAGUAGGGAAUCUUCCGCAAUGGACGAAAGUCUGACGGAGCAAUGCCGCGUGAGUGAAGAAGGUUUUCGGAUCGUAAAACUCUGUUGUAAGGGAAGAACAAGCACGUUAGUAACUGAACGUACCUUGACGGUACCUUACCAGAAAGCCACGGCUAACUACGUG